Molecule: non-coding RNA, 5972 nt
Organism: Dermacentor albipictus
Lineage: Eukaryota; Metazoa; Arthropoda; Arachnida; Ixodida; Ixodidae
Source: RefSeq, a predicted model, not a curated record
UAUAAGCACACUGGUGAACACCCGCUGUGUUCAACUUCACAUUCACUAUACAAUUCACAUAUAUUUCAUACUUCCUUUAAGUACUAAUCAGAGAGAUUUUUGGGUCAUGGCUUUAUUUCUUUCGGAUGUCACAUCAGGGCUGGGAAACACCGUGACAUGGAGUGUAUAUAGGUUGGGAUACAAGCAAGAAAAGGCAGAUGCAUGUAAAUACAGUGCUGACCAUGGUAAUAGGAAACCUUGGUCAAUUUUUUAAGGGAAGUCUUUGAGGAGGUGAACAAUACUGUAAAGAUUUGCACUUCGAGUCAAAAUGAAUAGGUAGGGUUCUUCUAAAGGGGAGAGGGGGUAAUGUGGUUGGCCGAGCCAACAACUGAGAGUGUGUUAGCGGCGAGGGUGUAAAAUUGAAAAGAAAUGUGUGCUACUCAACCUCAGUAGAGGAAUGUGAGGUCACGCUGUGUGUCGGCUAGUUUAGGUUCCUUUUUUCAUGUGAGUGGCCUGGACGACAUGGGGAGGGGCGAUUAUCUGCUCCACUGGAGAUAAUCCACUGGAGAACAGAUAAUCCCUCUCCCUCCCCCGCUGUCCAGGCCCCUUCCAUGAAUAAAGGAACCUACAGUGACAUGUCGACCGGCUGACACACGGCUUGACCCGACAUUCUUCCACUGAUGUUGAGUAGCACACCUUUCUCCAAUUCUACACCAUCGCCGCUAACACGCCUUCUGUCAUUGCCUCGUCCACCUGCCUUACCCCCUCACCCUUUUAGAAGAACCGUUCCUAUAUAUAAUGUGCCGAGGAAAGCAUAUGUCGCCUUGAAAAAUACAAGUCCGCUUAUCAAAAUGUUGGCCGCUACUUUUACCUUGUUCUCAUUUAGCUCAUCAUCUUGCAUUUAGCAUAUCCUCACGUAAUGUCAUUCAUUGUGGUGUGCCUUUGCACGACUGGCUGUGCACACAAGGUUUUCCAAAUAAAAAUGCUGUUGUAUUUAUGAUAGCCUCAUGCAAUGCGAUUCUACUGCCCUUCCACGUGACGUAACUCAUUCCACUUCCAUAACCUGAAAGUUCGUAAACACCUUUAAAGGGACAUUAAAGGCAAAAAAAAAAAAAAAGCUCGCCAUCCCAACUUUGCGAAAGUGGAUGGCCAGUGAAGCUGUUAGAAAACCGCUCAAAUGCUGUCGAUGGGGAUAUGAAAGGUUUUAUUGCUCUGCCUAGUCUUAGCACGAUACCACUGUUGACCAUUACGAUUUUGCACUCUUUGACGCUCAUCGCAUUCACGCUGCUCUUGGCGUGGUCUACCUACAGCGGUCUUGCAAUGAAAUCGAAUGAGUUACUAGACAGGUCUCCCUUUUAUAUAUAAAGUUUGGUGACGUCACUCACCGAUUCGUAUGCUGCUGUUGCCCCUUUUCCACCGGAGCAGCUUAUGCAACUGUAACCUUUACCAGAAACACAUGAGAGAGAAGGAACGUGCCUCGCAUUGUUCACAGGCGCCUUAUCAUCCAUCAUGCGGUUUUCACACUUGUUUUGUGUUUUUCUUUAUUGAAAUGAAUGCGGAGCCGUGUGUUAUCUGCCUGAUUCCAAAGGAGAUUCCAAAGGACUUUUUUUCGGUUCAAUUCCUUUUUUUUUUUUUCUGACGGACAUGAAAAAUCUCGACCCAACUAGAGGCUAACAGCUUCGCUUUAAAAUCAACUUCUCAGAGUUGGGAAGCACCAAUUUUGCUGAAAACAGACCUUUGCUAAGUGAGCAACCAUAAACAUAUGACCGCAUUGUCACCACCACUAUGAAUAUGUCAAGCCAGCUUUCUUUUAACAGUCUUCAGUCCUGUUAUAAAGCGAUGAAAAUUAAAUAUUGGGUUUCACAUGCCAAAACCAUGAUCUGACUGAGGCACGCCGUAGUGGGGGACUCCAGAAUAAUUUUUAAAACCCGAGGAUCUUAACAUGCACCUAAAUAUAAGUACACCAGCAUCUUUGCAUUUCACCCCCAUUGAAAUGCAGCUGCGGCAGCCGGGAUGAACCUUCCACUUGAGCUCGGCAGCACAACACCGUAGCCACUAUAAGCUACCGCGACAGGUCAAAGUGACAACUAGAAGUCAACAACAAUGGAUUUGAACAGGAAAGGUAAUGGAUAUGGCAAAUUCUAUUGGAUUUUCCUACAGGACCACUCACAAGGCUCCCUCUUCACAUCAGUCCAUUCAGUGAAGUUUGGUGUCCUUCGUGUAAACCCUACGAGUCGCUGCAGGCAGUAAUACCUACACAGUCCACCAUGACCUCUGCGAUUGCCAGCAAGUAGCAAAAAUAUCUCUUUUCACUGGUAAUCUGAUGUCCUCAGUUUGUAGCUUUCUCAGUGAUUAAGUAAUCACUUAGCAGAGUGCAGUGCGAUUUUUACAACUCUAGCUUAAUAUUUGCACAUAGUGUCCCUUUUACAUUGCUGGUAUUGGCAAACCCUUUGAAAUCACUCGCUGCAAAUGCCUCAAUCACAUUGUUUUGCAUUCAAUAGGCAUAAUGUCUUUUAAAUGCAAUGUAUACAAACAGGCUAUAUUGGCAUGCUGCUUGCCCUAAAGAUGAGCUAUGAAACAAAGCAAUGGAUGGGCAAUCAAGACGAGGGUCUCGUGGGAUUGAGCAACAUGUGCUAUUUCAGUAAUGGCAACCACUGAGACUCUGUGCUAGUAGUUCCGAUAGGAGGGCGAUCCGGAAAGUCUUUGCCCUUAUUUUUUAUUACUGGAAAUAAGGUACAUGCAGGUAAUUACAUAUAUACAUACUAUUUUACAUACCUUACACUAUUUUUUCACAUAGUCCCCACACUGGUUCAGACCAUUUGUCCCAUCGCAGCACUAAAUCCGAGAUGCCCGUGGUAGAAUUCACGGCACGCGGUCUCCCCGAACGCUCAUUGUCAUGCAAGUCCUUGUGGCCUUUUGCAAACUCGCAAAGCAAGACACCUUUCUCCAUACGUGGGCUGCAUUUCCCUGUGGAUUUUGAUGGACAUUCAACCCUGGCUCACAGAAAACGAACUGCACUUCGUUGCUCGUUUGCCAUGGAUGUGUGAAGCACAACUGCCAUCUUCAACAACUGACAGCAGUGCCGUGCCGUGGAGCUACCAGGCGAUAAGGCCGGACCAGUCCAAGAAAAGUCCACCGCCAGGAAUGGAUAUGUUUUCACAUUUACAGCCAUAAUUUGACUAAAAAAAAUAGGGGCGAAGGCUUUCUGAUUCGUCCAUGUAUAUGGUUACAACAGCCGUCCCUGUAAGAGGUCAUGCUUAAACAUUUCCUUUAACUGCUUUCCUGACACUCUAAGCAGUGUGGAAAUGGACAAAGACUUUGGGAAAACACUGGAACAGAUGUCUUUACAAUACAUAUCUACCAACUUGCAUGCUUCACCAUCCUUACUUUCACAGCUGACAUGACUUAUGCAAGUAUACUGCAGUGCUAAGCAAGCAUAGCCUUGUGUGUAGAGAAUGCCUUGUAAAUGAAUGUUUAUGCACAAGCACGCACACAUAUUUUGUAGUCCCUGACCAACAAAUGCCUCCCACAGAGUCAUUUCUGCAGAGUAAUGAACUGCUGUUCUAGUGGACAUCUUGUUAAAGGAGUACUGAAAUCAUAUUUUUGACUCGUUUCUUGCAUUAAAUGAAUGUCUGGGACUUCUAAAACCUAAAAAAAUACUUGCAAGCAUCACAGCACCUUAAUUAAUUUAAUAUAAUAGCUUUUCUACAGCAAGUAUCGCUUUCGUUUCUACUGUCAUGAUGGAGAAGGUAGUUGCAUGGCAGCAGGACAUUGCGAUGUGUUAGUAUUCACCCCGGCUCGCUCGGUCAUCUGUUAUGCUGUUAAAUUGACCUUGCAAGUAGCAACAUAGGAGGCGACUGAGCGAGCCAGUGUUUGUGUCGAAACAUCAAUGUCCUGUGCCCACAUCUCUACCUUCUGUGUCACAACACAGUAGAAAUGAGCCCGAAACUGGCUGUAGAAAACAUUUUAUUCGGUUACUUAAGGAUGAUCCAAGGCUUGCAAGUACUUUUCCUAGGGUAUAGAGUGGUCUGAGGCAUUCAUUUAAUGCAAGAUAAUUUGUAGUGAGAAAUAUCACAUCGGUACUUCUUUAAUAGAAACAAUGAUGUGUUCCUCACGGUCGCUACAUUUUUCGUUCUUCCAAGCGAACGUUGCAGCUUUACCCCGUCUAAAGCGGGAACUCCACAAGAUGACACCAACAUCGUCUCCUUCUAGUGUAUAUUUCUCUGGCAAACUAGUGUUGAUAUGCUGGUAGAUAUACAGUCAAGUAGACUGAAACAAAGAGGGCAUGCUUUCACAACUGUUUGCACGCAAUCAUUGCACACUGGCAUUCUGUCAUUAUGUGCUUGCAAGUGGAGGCUUCAGAAAAAAGGAAGCAACAGUGGCACCUCCAACGCCCUGUAAUCGCUACUGCUUCUGUUGCCAACAUCCACUGCAGACAAUACCGGUUGAGAGGGAGGAGCUUGUGUCAAGCAUUCAAAUAAGUACACGUUUACCACCAAUACAAUGUUUUUCUAUACACACAGGGUGUUUUUCUUUUUUAAACUCUACAGAAUUUUAUAAAAUCACUUGUUGCAGAUUGCAGAAUUGUAGACCUUGAGCUGGGUUACUAGAAGCAGUGGACACCACUAGAAUGAGAAAUCGACAUGUAUGAUCUAUUAAUUAACAUGUAUUAAUGAACUAAUUAUCUUACGGAAUACAUUUUGCAAUUUGCACAUUGUAGCUACAGAGUUUGAAAGGCAUAUUCAUUUGGAAUGACUUCUAAGGAUCGCACGGGUUUUGAGAAAUGCACAGUGAAACUUGAUUUAAGAUUUCACUAUUCUUCUACUUAAUUUUUUAACAAAGUGCCAUAUUAUACUAUGAACCACAAAAGUAACUGAAAUGCCCAUGCAUUGCAUCACAUACUUUGGAAAUUGGUAUCACGAAACUGGUGUCAUCCUGGAAAUUCAUUCCAAGUGGAUACACCUUGCGAACUCACCGGCUGCAACUCGUAAAUUGCAAAAUGUGCCAUAAAAUAAUAAAGAAAUGUAAUCGGCAAUUUUUCAUUAGUUACUCGAUUACACGUUUCAAUUUCACAUACAAGUAAUGUGCACCUCUUCAAGUAAUCCAGCUGUGACCAAAAUUAUGCUAUCUGCCGCAGGCAAUCUUUUCCUUAUAAUGUAUGGUCAAAAAAGAAAAAGAGAAAGAAAAAUGUAUAAUGUGCACACAUGCAAAAAUGCAUGCAUAACCUGCAGGAAUGAAGCCAUAUAACUUUGAAGUCUUAAUAAAAGCAACCCAACACCAUUGGAAUGCACAGAGCAAAGCUCUAGAAACAAUCUUUUUGUACAUCGACCCUGUUGCUUUCUGCUCAAAUGUAGUGCAGCUUUACAGCAGUGAGCAGCACACAUUAAAUUAUUCGCUUUCAGAGCUGUUUCAUGGCAAGGCUUCACGGAAAUGUGCAAACACUACACCCAACACCAAAGUUUAACUUACUCUUUCUCACGCAUUAAUUUCUUGAAACCUCGUUUCAGGCUAUAUGGAUGGAAAAUUGGUAUCUUCUCUACUGGAGGACAAUGCAACUGUAUUCGAUAGUGUUGUUACAGGUCAGAACUCGCACUAACUAGCUUUUCAUGGGAUGUUUCCGAGCAGACACAUCAAGCUCACAACAGCUAUAAUCCUCCUCUGUGCGAGUAAAGCUUCUCUGUUGUUUGCUUCCCCCCAAAACUCCAACAAGACGUGGAGGAUAGUGAGAAUCUCGUCACAUUGCUACAGAUAGGAGGUUGAUCACCAGCCAACAGGGUCGUCCACUUUCAGAGGAUACGCACAAGUGCACAGACCCCAUACAUGGAGCACCAGUAGCGGCCACCGGGAAUACUUAAGCAGGCACGUGAAAGCUCGCCUGAUGCUGGUGCCAUAAAUUUGCUUGUAUCACAAUCUGGCCUGCACAAAGGCAGGUACUUCACGUCAUGGUAAGUAAAGCACAGGAUGUUGUCACAUGUCCUAGGAUACCUGCUUUU